Diachasmimorpha longicaudata is the source of this 3113-nucleotide long non-coding RNA. RefSeq lists it as uncharacterized. The transcript has 4 exons. Lineage: Eukaryota; Metazoa; Arthropoda; Insecta; Hymenoptera; Braconidae. The record is from RefSeq and is a predicted model, not a curated record.
GUGCACCCGAGAGUCCAUCGUCUCCACCUGCCGGUAAAGUGAAGAUUCCAGGGAGAUAACUUGCACAUUAGAGCAGCGGGGAGCACGAGACAGGUGGAGAUUUGGGUAAGUCUACGCUGGACAGAUUACGUGGGGUGUCAUCACCUCGGUCAAUAGAUCAUGCUCAUUCACUUGUCGGACGAUGAAGAAAUAACUUUUGAUGUAUUAAUUUUUUUCGAUGCACAAGUCAUUUGGAAGCAAUGUAAACACAGCCAGUUGUUUAUUAGACAGCUUUAACCAUUGGUGUCGUUCAUUGGUACCCUAGUCACACAUCACCAGGUCCCAUAUUGAAUAAGUACAGACCUAAAAAUUGUCAAAAGUAUCUCGAUUUCACCAAGAGCCAAAUUCGAACAACAGAACGAGAAUCGUGGAAUGCCUGGCAGGUUCUUCUCGACUUGACGAAAUCAUUAAGGGGACUAAAUCCAAUAAAGGACCGCAACCCGGGGUUCCAGUCAGAAGAAAACAUUCCCAGGAAGUUUCAGCUCGUCGGUGGCUCUCUAUUCAACGUGAAAAUACAAUGAGGGAACUGUCUGGUUUUCCUUCAUCUCCCGGGGUUAUUCUGAGCAUCGACUCCCGCUGUCGUUAGCGAUGUCUUGCUACAUCAAUGAAUCAUCGUACGAGUACAAGAAGCUACAAAAUAACCCGGGUUGGAGGAUCAUGCUGACAGUUAGUCAACGGUUGUUAGAAAUCACUAUGGCGUUGGGAUAUUAGAAGACAUUGCCUCGGGUUUUUUUAUUUAUCGUGCAUAGUAGCCGAUCACUUGAGACUAUUUUCAUGAACUGCAAUUCAUGUGAAAGAUGGAAAAAGGAAAAAGGUCGCGAAAUUUCACUCUGCGGUUCUCAAAAUUUUGCUAAUUAAAUAAUUUUAGUUGUUCUUUCGUUCUCCCUCAAGAUGAUCUAAUUCAGGUGUUUCAUAUAUUUCUGAAUAUUUUUUUUUCUUUAAAGUCGCAUCGACCACGAGGUUCUUAACGUUUUUGAGAAAAAUGAGUAUAUUUCAGUUACAUCUGGUUUCGUUCAUAUCUAAUAUAUUGUAUGUUUUCUAUUAAUUUAAGUAGUUUCGAUAUUUACUCUGUUAUCAAUGCUACACUAGCACUAUUUUCCAUUUUUCCCGCAUGGUCUAACUUCAUUUAGCUUUCUAAAUUACAGUGUUUCAAAUAUUUACAAAUGAAUUUUGCUAUAUUUUUUAUUGGUUGCAUCUGCAAAUUUUCUAGUCGUGAAAGAUCCCGUACAGUUCGAUUUAGUUAUAUUGUCAACUAACUCACGUCUUUGGUUCACAUAUUUCGGACAAUGCCCAAGAAAGGACGUGAUGAAAUUUUUGACUUGCUGCUCCCCAGGAGGACCUGGGGUCAAAAAUUGAUUAUUCCAAUUCUUUCCAGGGAGUCUGCUAAAUGUAAGUAACUAUUGUUUCUCUAGAGAGUUUCCAGUUAUUGCACCAAGUCUCAGCAGUGUCCCUGUAAUAGAGCUGGAAGAAUUCUGUCGUUUUUCCCUUCAACACUAGUUGCCUGCUCUAUAAUUUUAAUGGACGUUUCUCGCUGCUGUUCACAUUUGAAUUGAUUUCCGAAAUUGGUGAAUGAAACUUUGGACUCAUUUGAAAAAUUAUCUGUCGUUUCUCCUGCCAGUCUAUCUGCUGUCUCAUUUCGUUCUAUUCCACAAUGCGAGAGGAUUUUUCUUUUUUAUUUUAUUCAAUGUUCUCUAAUUUCGAUUAUAUUUGAUCUGAUAGUUCACAGCUCCAGUUGCAGAUUAAGAUCUCUUUAUGUUUCCUAAAUCUCUCAGACAAUCAAGCACAUCCCUGCAAUCGUAAUUGGAUGCUGAUGGGUUAUUAAACUGUUGUGGAGAUAUUUCGUAAAUUAAAACGAAGAGGGCGUGACCCAUAUAUCAUCCCCAGGGAUGAGUAUUCCACCUUGUUCAUUGUACGCUCAGCUCUCAUUAUUUACAGUUCAUACACGUAAUUUGUUCAUACAACUACAAAUAGUAAAAUAGGGGAAACAGUCGUCAUUCUUCAUUUUCAUUCUUAGAAAUUUAAUGAUAACAUCGGUUAGCCCUUGCCCCACCCUCAACCUCCAUUUCUAUGAAUAAUGAAUGUGAAAAUAGCAACAAACGUUUCAUAUCAGGUACAUGGAAACUCGUUUAUUCACGAGUUUGUGAAUCGUUGGAAUACGAAAACUUGUAAUUUCACGCAUCCGUCUUAUUCAUACAGACUCAACUCGAAAAAAAAAAAAUGUAUUCUCGAUUGUUCGAUGUGGUCUUCACGUGUACUGUUGAAUGGCAAGUAUAAGAAAACAAUGAGAGCACCACCUUUGAGCUGUAUACUUCCGUUUGCGCAAUAUCCUUCCGGUUUUUGUACCCCUUUCUGUAUUUUGCUUUUUGCGGAGUUUCUGGAGCAUUUAUUUUUACGGUUCUACGGUUUUUUCCCUUCGUGAAAAGGGGAAAACGGAACUAAAUAAUAUCGCGGAAAAAAAACAUCCAUUUUGCCCCGGGAGAAUACAAGUAUUCAUGCUAUGUGGAUUUAUUUUUCUAAGACUAUUGAUUCGAAAACGAACGAUUGUGUAAAAUUUUAUUAAUUCAUUGCAUUAACGAGUGGCCAACUUUUUCUUAACGAUGCGAUGCGACAAUUUUUUUAUAUCAGUUAUACUAAUGAAAAAUCAAAACUUUUCUCUAUUGUAAUCUUCCUUUCGGUUUCUUCGUAGAGAAUAUGGAAUAAGGGCCACGAAUGACUGAAAAAAAAACUGAAUCUGGCAAAAGCUCAAAAUAUAAAAUAAAUAAAAUAUAUCGUAUAUAAAAAAUUAUAUUUAAGAUAAUUAUAUAAAAAUAAUAGCAAACAUUGAAUCAAACAAUUAGUAUGUCGUAAAUCGUUCUUAUGAAUGAACUGGUUUGAAUAUAAUUGCGUUAAAAAAAAUCUGUUACUUAUAAAAAAAAUUUAUAAGACAUACAAAAAAAUCGACUAGAAAUUAUUGGAUAAUUUUCCCCCCCUGAAUAUUAAAUAGUCUCUGUCUAUGACAGUGUCACUGACACCGAUUUAUUCAUUUAUUUUUAGUCUCUCGAUAUCCUUUGUAUCAAGUUGAAAUAUCCAGUUAG